RNAcentral lists this ribosomal RNA (488 nucleotides) under uncultured Bacteroidota bacterium. Its description in RNAcentral is "bacterial SSU rRNA". It matches the Rfam family "Bacterial small subunit ribosomal RNA", at positions 28 to 507 of the family's 1533-position model. The record is from RNAcentral. Lineage: Bacteria; Pseudomonadati; Bacteroidota.
GAUGAACGCUAGCGGCAGGCCUAACACAUGCAAGUCGAACGGUAACAGGGAAAAGCUUGCUUUUCCGCUGACGAGUGGCGCACGGGUGCGCAACGCGUAUAGAACCUACCCUGUACAGGGGGAUAGCCCGGAGAAAUCCGGAUUAAUACCCCGUAGUAAUUAGAUUUGGCAUCGGAUUUAAUUUAAAGCUUCGGCGGUACAGGAUGGCUAUGCGUCCUAUUAGCCAGAUGGUGAGGUAACGGCUCACCAUAGCUAUGAUAGGUAGGGGCCCUGAGAGGGGGAUCCCCCACACUGGUACUGAGACACGGACCAGACUCCUACGGGAGGCAGCAGUGAGGAAUAUUGGACAAUGGGCACACGCCUGAUCCAGCCAUGCCGCGUGCAGGAAGACGGCCCUAUGGGUUGUAAACUGCUUUUAUACGGGAAGAAUAAGGGGUACGUGUACCCUGGUGACGGUACCGUAAGAAUAAGGACCGGCUAACUCCGUG